RNAcentral lists this ribosomal RNA (568 nucleotides) under uncultured bacterium. RNAcentral describes it as "bacterial SSU rRNA". It matches the Rfam family "Bacterial small subunit ribosomal RNA", at positions 338 to 916 of the family's 1533-position model. The record is from RNAcentral.
CCUACGGGAGGCAGCAGUGGGGAAUAUUGCACAAUGGGCGCAAGCCUGAUGCAGCGACGCCGCGUGAGGGAUGACGGCCUUCGGGUUGUAAACCUCUUUCAGCAGGGACGAAGCGCAAGUGACGGUACCUGCAGAAGAAGCACCGGCCAACUACGUGCCAGCAGCCGCGGUAAUACGUAGGGUGCAAGCGUUGUCCGGAAUUACUGGGCGUAAAGAGCUCGUAGGCGGUUUGUCGCGUCGUCUGUGAAAACCAGCAGCUCAACUGUUGGCUUGCAGGCGAUACGGGCAGACUUGAGUAUUUCAGGGGAGACUGGAAUUCCUGGUGUAGCGGUGAAAUGCGCAGAUAUCAGGAGGAACACCGGUGGCGAAGGCGGGUCUCUGGGAAAUAACUGACGCUGAGGAGCGAAAGCGUGGGUAGCGAACAGGAUUAGAUACCCUGGUAGUCCACGCCGUAAACGGUGGGCGCUAGGUGUGGGUUUCCUUCCACGGGAUCCGUGCCGUAGCUAACGCAUUAAGCGCCCCGCCUGGGGAGUACGGCCGCAAGGCUAAAACUUAAAGGAAUUGACGG